Molecule: ribosomal RNA, 757 nt
Filed under: Oonopidae gen. n. 1 sp. NCP-2017
Lineage: Eukaryota; Metazoa; Arthropoda; Arachnida; Araneae; Oonopidae
Description: eukaryotic LSU rRNA
Rfam family: Eukaryotic large subunit ribosomal RNA (bases 298-757)
Source: RNAcentral
CAAACGGGUGGGGCCUCGAAAUCCUCCGGCGGGAGGAUUCAGUUAGGAAGGGCGGAGGUGGCGUGCGUGGACGGACCCUUUCCGGGACGCRUCGCCGCCGCGGUCUCUGCUCGACCUGACGCAUUUCCUCCCGCGCAAGGACGCCGCAUCCAGUUGGGUAGCUGCGUGAGUCGGCCAUGAGGACGAGCGCUGGAAGGUGGCUGGUGGUGGUGCCUGUGCUCCGCCGUCAGUUGUUAGCCGGUUCGUCCGUGGCGCGACACCUGACUGAGGUUAAUCUGUUCCCUUGUGGGAACUGGCCGCCCUCUCCCUCGAGGAGCGGAUGCUUCGGGAGGUGCUUCCCGGCGUCGCCUCUUCACUCCUUGCAGUGUCUGGCGCGCAGGGUUCACUGUUGGCCGAAAGCUACCGCAGAGGUGCAGAAGGCUGGCGGCGAGUGAGUCGGUCACCCACCCGACCCGUCUUGAAACACGGACCAAGGAGUCUAACAUGUGCGCGAGUCAUGGGGUCUUGAAYAGGCCCAGAGGCGAAAUGAAAGUGAAAGCCGUCGUCCUGUCGGCUGUGUUGGGAUCCCUCGUCCUUUGCGGCGGGGGAGCACCAACGGUCCGUACUGUCCGAUUUAUCGGUUGUACGGAAUCCGAGCGUACACGUUGGGACCCGAAAGAUGGUGACCUAUGCCUGGGCAGGACGAAGCCAGAGGAAACUCUGGUGGAGGUCCGUAGCGGUUCUGACGUGCAAAUCGAUCGUCAGAUCCAGGUAUAGG